Molecule: small nuclear RNA, 138 nt
Organism: Saimiri boliviensis boliviensis (Bolivian squirrel monkey)
Lineage: Eukaryota; Metazoa; Chordata; Mammalia; Primates; Cebidae
Product: U4 spliceosomal RNA
Source: RefSeq, a predicted model, not a curated record
GCUUUUGCGCAGUGGCAGUAUCGUAGCCAAUGAGGUUUAUCUGAGGCAUGAUUAUUGCUAAUUGAAAACUUUUCCUAAUACCUCGCAACAACUUGAAAUAUAGUCAGCAUUGGCAAUCUUUGACAGUCUCUACGGAGA